Molecule: small nuclear RNA, 106 nt
Organism: Puma concolor (puma)
Lineage: Eukaryota; Metazoa; Chordata; Mammalia; Carnivora; Felidae
Source: RefSeq, a predicted model, not a curated record
GUGCUCGCUUCGACAGCACAUAUACUAAAAUUGGAACAACAUGGAGAAGAUUUGGCGGCCCCUGCACAAGGGUGACACACAAAUUCGUGAAGCUUCCAUGUUUUUA